GCGGAGGUUACCAUCCCGGUUAACGGGGAAGGGUACUUGCCACUAGACCCUUACGGCAGGACGGGUGAGUAUGCUUAGAGAAUCUGCCUAUUAGUCGGGGGACAACUGUUUCGAAAGGAACGCUAAUACCGCAUACAGUCCUACGGGAGAAAGCAGGGGAUCAUAUGACCUUGUGCUAAUAGAUGAGCCUAAGUCGGAUUAGCUAGUUGGUAGGGGUAAAGGCCUACCAAGGCGACGAUCUGUAGCGGGUCUGAGAGGAUGAUCCGCCACACUGGGACUGAGACACGGCCCAGAACUCCUACGGGAGGCAGACAGUGGGGAAUAUUGGACAAUGGGCGCAAGCCUGAUCCAGACCAUGCCGCGUGUGUGAAGAAGGCCUUAUGGUUGUAAAGCACUUUAAGCGAGGAGGAGGAGCUUCAGGUUAAUACCCUGGAUGCUUGGACGUUACUCGCAGAAUAAGCACCGGCAUAACUCUGUGCCAGCAGCCGCGGUAAUACAGAGGGUGCAAGCGUUAAUCGCGAUUUACUGGGCGUAAAGCGUGCGUAGGCGGCUAAUUAAGUCAAAUGUUGAAAAUCCCCCCGAGCUUUCACACUUGGGCAACUUUGCAUUUCGAAUACUGGUUAAGCUACGCAAGUAAUGGGGAAGAGGGAUUGGUCAGAAUUCCAAGGGUUGUUAGCGGUGAAAUUGCGUACAGAGAUCUGGGAGGACAUACCCGAUGGCCGAAGGCAGCAUUUUGGGCCCUAUAACUUGGCGCCUGAGGUCACCAAACCAUGGGGGCCCAACCGGUUUACUUCCUGGUAAGCCCAGC
This 808-nucleotide ribosomal RNA is filed under the name uncultured Acinetobacter sp. RNAcentral's name for it is "bacterial SSU rRNA". It matches the Rfam family "Bacterial small subunit ribosomal RNA", at positions 39 to 800 of the family's 1533-position model. The record is from RNAcentral. Lineage: Bacteria; Pseudomonadati; Pseudomonadota; Gammaproteobacteria; Moraxellales; Moraxellaceae.